CCCCGCUCCAUUCCGCCGCAGUUCAGCCCCGAGUCAUGAGGAAGAAGGCGGCGUCCAGGGCUCGUGAUUGCAAAUGAUGGCGCGCAUCCGAGGAGAUUCGGAGCCUCCCAGUUCUAAAUAUGCUUAACCUCGUGACCUCUUUCGCGGAGGAGAUACUCGCGCUCUCGGCACCCGCUCUCCUCUGUCUACAAGAAGGAGAAGGACAACGCAGGCCUACCUUGCAGGGCUGUUGUGAGCAAAACCAUGUGUGUGAAGUGCUUGGAACGCUCUCAACUAAGAACACGGGGAGAGCCGUGCUGGGCCUGGAUCAGGCCAAAGAGGGCCCAGCAUCCUGUUCUCGCAGUGGCCACGCAGAUGCCCCAUGGGGAAGCUCGCAAGCAGGACCUGAAUGCAACAUCAGCUCCCCGCCCCCCCCAUUUUUGAUUCCCAGCAGCAGGCAUUCAGAUACAUACUGCCUCCCAACAGUGGAGGUAACAAGUGAAUAAGAAUACUGUAGUAAUAAUAAUAGUAUUAAUAAUAAUUUUGUAUAUUUAUCUGCAAUCAGGAGGGUCAAAACAAACUACAACUGUGUCACUAUAAUUUGCUUUUAAAUUCUUCUGUUCUUCUUGUUUGUUUCUAUAAGCUGCUCAAAGCAAUAGACAAUAAUUUAAAAACCGGCCAGUAUAAAGCAAGGACUAAUAAGGAAACAGCAACUACUGUACCAUCAUAGAGAAAAGUACAGUGGUACCUCGGGUUACAGACGCUUCAGGUUACAGACUCUGCUAACCCAGAAAUAGUACCUCGGGUUAAGAACUUUGCUUCAGGAUGAGAACAGAAAUCGCACGGCAGUGGAGCGGCAGCAGCAGGAGGCCCCAUUAGCUUAAAGUGGUGCUUCAGGUUAAGAACGGACCUCUGGAACGAAUUAAGUACGUAACCCGAGGUACCACUGUCCAGUGUAAUCCCAUUCCUGUUUCUCAGAACUAAGUUCUAGUCAAUCCACCUCAGUGGCGGCUCCCAGACUUUGGAACUCCCUUCUUAGAGAAACCAGAUUGGCUCCUUUUUCUUCCACCUGCAGGUGAAGACUGUUUUAUUUCUGCAGGGUAUUGGGAACUGGCUGCUUUUAAGAAAAGGUUUUUAAGAGUGCUGUGCUGUUUUUAUCUGUAUUUUAAUGGGUUUGUUUUUAUAUCCAUUUAACUUUGCUGUAUUUUAAAUCCUUUUUAAGCAUCAGCUUUUAUAUAUGUUGUUAGCUUUCUGCGUUUUAUUCAUGUUUGCUUUAAUUUUUGUGAGCCGCCUUGAGUCCUGAUUCUGGGAGAAAGGCGGGAUAUAAAUAAUAAAAUAAUAAUAACAAUUCUGUGGGUCUUUUGGGUAAGUGAGGUUAGGAUUGCAGCCUUUGCCAUAGAGGGCGGAGGGAAUCUUGGAGCUGGAUGGAACUUCAAAGGUUACGUUGUCCAAUCUCUUGCCAGUGCAGGGAAUCCAUGACACCAGCCUCCCUGUUGGGUGGUCUUCCUUAGGCUUUGCUCAACUUCUGAGAAAGAAGAGGGCCACCAUUUUGGUGGUGAAUAAGGGCGAGUUACCCAACCGUUCAUAAGAACAUUAUUUAAUAACCACCUAGGCUUCCGCUCUCUCUCUUUUGAUGACUUGCAGACUAUGUGAGAAUAAAUUAGCACCUGGUCAUGUGGUUUAUUCAUUCAUUGAGAAUGUUAUCUUGAUCACCAAGUACUAAUUGCGUAUUAAUUAGGAAGCAGAGCCAUUUGAGCAAGAGAUUGGGAUGGGCUUUUGUAACGUAUCUGAUAGAAUGUUUUGUAAUGUAUUUGACAGAAUGUAUUUCAUAGAAUUCUUAUUUUGUUUAUGUCUCUGAGGCAAACACUGGCUUGAAAAUCAGCGAGUUCCACUUGAAAAAAAACUUCACUUGCACCUUCUGGUGCCACUUCAAAUGGAUUCUGAAAUGUUAUCAUUUCCUUUCUGUGCUUCUGACAAUCAGUGAUUCUGUUCUGAAACCCCACCUGCAGUAGGUUCCAUCUUUCAACAUGGAAUUGUGAAUUCCCAUUCUCAGAUUUUUGUUUGUUCCUGCAUGAAAAGUUUGAACAGCUAUGUUCACUAACGUGCUUCAUAAAAUAAAAAUUGUUUUGCUUCCAUAGCUUUCAACUCAGAAUAUAUGUCAGACGCAGUAGGCUUUCCUUUUCACUGCAACCUUAUAUUAAAAGCAUUCAGAUGCUCUGUGAUAUCAGGAAAGGCAAAUAAAAAAUCAAUUUGGG
Molecule: non-coding RNA, 2234 nt
Organism: Podarcis lilfordi (Lilford's wall lizard)
Lineage: Eukaryota; Metazoa; Chordata; Lepidosauria; Squamata; Lacertidae
Source: the annotation of a GenBank genome assembly